UACGGAGGGGGCAAGCGUUGUCCGGAAUUAUUGGGCGUAAAGCGCGCGCAGGCGGUCCUUUAAGUCUUGUGUUUAAAGCCGAAGCUCAACUUCGGUACGCAUGGGAAACUGGGGGACUGGAGUGCAGGAGAGGAAAGUGGAAUUCCACGUGUAGCGGUGAAAUGCGUAGAGAUGUGGAGGAACACCAGUGGCGAAGGCGAGUCCCUGGACAACACCUGACACUGAGGCACGAAAGCUAGGGGAGCAAACAGG
Molecule: ribosomal RNA, 252 nt
Filed under: uncultured bacterium
Lineage: Bacteria
Description: partial 16S ribosomal RNA
Rfam family: Bacterial small subunit ribosomal RNA
Source: RNAcentral